GUAUCAUUUUUAAUAACUUAUAUAAACUAGACAAAACGAAUGAUAAUCAAAAUAUAAUUAAUGAUAUUUAUGAUUUUUAUAUUCUUAACAAAUAUGUAAACUAUUCAUUAAAACAACUAAUCAUUUUGUUACACUCCUUAAACAAAUAUAAUUAUGAAAAAAAUAAAAUUAUUGAUUUUUUGAACUACUUAUCGUCUUAUAUUUUAAAUAUAUAUGGAAAUGGAUUCAACAAAAAAACUAAUACACCAAGGUCUUACCCAAGUGUUAACACUAAUGAGUGUUUACCGCCAUAUGAAAAACAACAUUUUACAUCAAAUAGUAAUAAUAAAAAACAAAGCUCUUCUCCUAUAGCCAUUUCAAAAAAGGGAAAUAAAACAGUUGAAACGAAUUUUGGUUUGUCAAAACGGGUUCCUUUUAGUUUUAAUGACAAACAGUUAGAACAGCGUGAUUUUUAUAAUGAAAGAAAAAAAGAAAAAAAGAAAAAAAAUGUUAUUAAUAAUGAUAAAUUUAAAGAAGCUUCUUUUUUUUUACACAGUAAAGAAGAAAAUUAUAAUAGUUACGGUACUAGUAACAAUGAGCUCACAUAUGUUUGUGGUACUAAGGAUGUCAGAAAUGGAAAUUAUACCAGCGAUGAUUAUAAUAAUCCAUUAGCACAAUAUUUCGAUAAAAAAGAUAAAUACGAACUAAUCCUUUUGUAUACACUAAGCUGUUACAAUUAUUGUAACAACCAAAUUAUUUACAUAUUAGUCCAACAAAUAAAAGAAAAAAUUUUUAGUGUUUACACUGAAAAAGAAAUAUGUAUGUUCAUAAAUAGUCUAUGUAAUUUUAUCUUUUUAAAAAAAACAAAACACUUUCAAAGGCAUAGUACAGACGAAUCGAAUUACAUUAGUGAAUCGAAUCAAGUAGUUAUGUAUAUUUUGUUAGACAAAAUUGUUGACCGUCUCGCUAUGACUACUGUUGCUACUGCUGUUACCACCCCCACCCGAACAACCGCUACUAAUUACUCCUAUUUUAGUUUAACAUCAAUAUACAUAUUCCUAUCAAAGUUAGAUUAUUUUUAUAAAAAUAAAAAUAUAGAAAAAAUCUUUAUGAACAAAUUAGUUCACACAUUGUCUG
RNAcentral lists this long non-coding RNA (1116 nucleotides) under Piliocolobus tephrosceles (Ugandan red Colobus). Its description in RNAcentral is "lncRNA (ENSPTEG00000014566.1)". The record is from RNAcentral. Lineage: Eukaryota; Metazoa; Chordata; Mammalia; Primates; Cercopithecidae.